AAUUAACAAUGAAGAAACAGAAGAUUCAAAAUAAACAUGCAGAUUGAAUUACUGCAUGCUUAACUCAAUCAACUACACGACUUCCUGUUGUAAUUGUUUCAUAAACAUCUGAAGGUUCCAACAAAAGCAUUGACACAUUUACUAUUUUACUUUAUGGCUUAUCUUGGAGGUGGAGGAGGAACAUGGGAUUUCGCCAUUCCCACCCAUGCAACAAUUCCAACUGCAAGGAUUAUCCAUCCAAAAAUGUCAUAUUUGAAAUCACUACUCUUCUUAUUCUUCUUGGAACCCUUUGCAUUUGAAGAAGCAGAAGACCCUCCACCCAUAGUCUGUUGACUAAUUCCAUGCUUAUGGAUCUCCAUGUGUAGCUCUGGUGCCUUUGCAGUGACUUCUAGAGAUUUUC
This 400-nucleotide unclassified non-coding RNA is filed under the name Hevea brasiliensis (rubber tree). Lineage: Eukaryota; Viridiplantae; Streptophyta; Magnoliopsida; Malpighiales; Euphorbiaceae. The record is from RNAcentral.